Long non-coding RNA from Bombus terrestris (buff-tailed bumblebee), 1829 nucleotides. RefSeq lists it as uncharacterized. The record is from RefSeq and is a predicted model, not a curated record. The transcript is spliced from 5 exons. Lineage: Eukaryota; Metazoa; Arthropoda; Insecta; Hymenoptera; Apidae.
UUUUUUUCUUGAAACAUAAUAUCGGCCUGUUGGAAAUAUAUCCUUUCCAAGAAUUCGACGACUCUUGUUCGUACACGCUCGACUUAUCGACGACAUCCACCCCACCCCUCGCUAACCGAAUUCUGUUUGGUAAAUCGGCACACGGGAGUCAUUCUAUCGACGAAAAUCGGAUUGAUUAGAUGUAUACUCUGCAACAAGUGUUCUCUUUCUACUACGUAGUAUUUUUGUAGUGAUUCUUCUAUCAAAUUCACGCUACUGCUAUGUCUAAUUAAUAUUAUUGCUCGAUUGCGAGGAAAAUUUGGAGGCCACGAAAUUCGAAAAAACGCCACCGGUGCCUGAUUAAUUCGAUAAUUUUCUAUGCAGAUAGGGUAACACUUGACUUAUUCUAAUGAAGGCAAACGUAUUUAUACGUUUGCUUGUUCUUUCUAUUGGACACUUGGUAAUAUUAAUUUAGUUUUUCAUAAUUUCCAUUUUUUCCUCUUCUCUGGGAAGGAUGUAGCGGUACUUCAAAUUUGAGCAUGUAUGUCACUUCUUCCCGUUCUUCCUGUCCCCUGGAAAAGACUUACUGGUGCUUCAAAACCAAAGAACUUUUCUCCCAUUGAAUUCGAUGAUUCCAGUUUGACGAACUUCCUUGGAUCAGAACAAUAUCGAAGACAACAUUCUUCACAUCUAAUCGUGAGUCGCAUGUAUUUUUGUUCCUCCGGUCUCUCAAUCAUGUCGAAAGAUGAAAGGUCCGAAUCGACACGAGUGAUUGGUUGUAUGCGUAGAAUUUUUGACGAGCAUAAUGACCGCGGGUAUUUAUUGUACCCGUGAAUAGUAACAUUUUCUUGUCUAUCAUACAAGAUACAUAUUACAGAAGUGUACGAUUCUGUAUGUAGGUGCUUCAUUUGUAAGAUGUGUUCUAUUCGAUUUCUUAUUUGUAAUUUCAUAGGAAACUUUUGUUUCGGUUCAGGCCACUACUAUGUUGAAUCGAUAACGUCGCAUGCGACAUAAAAAUGGUAUAAGAGUAAAAUUACCUCAAAAAUGUGGGGUGUGAAAAAGCAUUGCAUAUCAGGUCUAUUCUAUACCUCGUCGGUGAUUAGAACCACAGUUAAAAACGACAGACGAUCUCGUUCUCAGAUAAUAAUGUGGAUUUACGUACACAGGGUACGACAGUUGCAUGGUGCAAUCGAUUGCUUUCAAUGAGAUACAAUUUCGCUUCUAGAUGGCGCAACAAUGUUCUGUCUAUGAGAUUCGCAUCUUUAAUUAUUCUUAUAUCUAACAAUAAAUUUAUAUGUUAAACAAGGGGGGGGUGCAUUUGCUCUAUGAAGCAUAUAUAACUUGCAAUUAAUAUUUUCUUAAUGCAGCGAUUGAAUAAGAUAAAUACAUACUUCGUAUAUCAUUUUUUGGCUAUGAUCGAAUUCAAAAACAGAGUAAAUAAUUUAACUUAAAUUCUUAAAAUAAUUAUUAAAUGACAAGUUGCAUAAAAGUAACGUCAUAUUCUGUAUAAAUUGUAUUUAAGAUUUUCAUUGUUUAAUGUUAUUCAAGUCAUCAUAUCUAUCGAACGAUAAUAGUAUAAAAUUAAAGACUACUUAAGAAAGAAAAGGAUUACUUUAGUAUAUAGUGAUUAUGCUUAUACGUAUACAACGUUUCAUAAUCUAUUAAUACAAGUUCGUUAUAUCAUUAUGCAUUUUAGGAUUUUAUUAGAACUUUGGUAUUCAAUAAACCUUGUCUUCCACCGUGAAAUUAUGUAUGGUAUAUAACCAUAUCUGUUCUUCAAAUUGCAGUUGGUAGUCGAUGCACUUUGUAGACAUUAUGCAAAAAAAUGUACGCCUGUUAGAUGAAUAAAU